Molecule: ribosomal RNA, 433 nt
Filed under: uncultured bacterium
Lineage: Bacteria
Description: partial 16S ribosomal RNA
Rfam family: Bacterial small subunit ribosomal RNA
Source: RNAcentral
AACGAACGCUGGCGGCAUGCCUAACACAUGCGAGUCGAACGAGACCUUCGGGUCUAGUGGCGCACGGGUGCGUAACGCGUGGGAACCUGCCCUUAGGUUCGGGAUAACUCCCCGAAAGGGGUGCUAAUACCGGAUAAUGUCUUCGGACCAAAGAUUUAUCGCCUUUGGAUGGGCCCGCGUUGGAUUAGCUAGUUGGUAGGGUAAAAGCCUACCAAGGCGACGAUCCAUAGCUGGUCUGAGAGGAUGAUCAGCCACACUGGGACUGAGACACGGCCCAGACUCCUACGGGAGGCAGCAGUGGGGAAUAUUGGACAAUGGGCGAAAGCCUGAUCCAGCAAUGCCGCGUGAGUGAUGAAGGCCUUAGGGUUGUAAAGCUCUUUUACCCGGGAUGAUAAUGACAGUACCGGGAGAAUAAGCUCCGGCUAACUCCGUG